GACGAACGCUGGCGGCACGCUUAACACAUGCAAGUCGAACGAAGAUGUUUCACCGUAGCUUGCUACACCGAGACAUUUUAGUGGCGGACGGGUGAGUAACACGUGAGCAAUCUGCCUUUCAGAGGGGGAUACCAGUUGGAAACGACUGUUAAUACCGCAUAACAUAUCGAGAUCGCAUGAUAUUGAUAUCAAAGAUUUAUCGCUGAAAGAUGAGCUCGCGUCUGAUUAGAUAGUUGGUGAGGUAACGGCUCACCAAGUCGACGAUCAGUAGCCGGACUGAGAGGUUGGACGGCCACAUUGGGACUGAGACACGGCCCAGACUCCUACGGGAGGCAGCAGUGGGGAAUAUUGCACAAUGGGCGCAAGCCUGAUGCAGCAACGCCGCGUGAAGGAUGAAGGUUUUCGGAUCGUAAACUUCUAUCAACAGGGAAGAACGACCUGUAUAGGAAAUGAUACAGGAGUGACGG
RNAcentral lists this ribosomal RNA (467 nucleotides) under uncultured bacterium. RNAcentral describes it as "bacterial SSU rRNA". It matches the Rfam family "Bacterial small subunit ribosomal RNA", at positions 28 to 475 of the family's 1533-position model. The record is from RNAcentral.